Molecule: long non-coding RNA, 855 nt
Organism: Mustela erminea (ermine)
Lineage: Eukaryota; Metazoa; Chordata; Mammalia; Carnivora; Mustelidae
Exons: 3
Source: RefSeq, a predicted model, not a curated record
GUAUCAACUUGAGGGCGACUUUUGACUAGCUUGAGGGUGUGAGGAGAAGGGGAGGGACUGCUCAGCUGAGCUGUGCCUCGGGAAGGUCCAUCCUUGGAGGAGGAUUCUAGAUUUAGAGUCAGAUAGUUUCAUCAGCAGUAUCAAGCCUGGGUAACCAUAACAACAAAGCCCGUCAGGUGUCACAGGAGUCCCUCAGAGCAAUGAAAUAACUGUGUGGGUUAUAAAAAGAGAUGUCCUGGCCUGGAGGAGCUUACAGACGUGGGGAACAAGAGGACAAGCAGCCUGUGCAUACAGGGGAGCAAGUGAGGCCUGUGUUAUUCAAUGAAGAUAAAGGUUUAAAAUCCUAAAAUCCUGACAAGAGACUUGUAUAAGGGAAGUUGAAAAUGGCUGACUAUGGAGUCACGAAUUUAGACCCUAAAAGAAAUUUUGGGUGUUCAGUGGCAGAGAGAGAAAGAGAUAAGAAUUUCAGCAUGACUUGUGUCAAUGUCCUUUUGACUUAUGUGGUAUUUUGUGGUGUUAGUGAAUAAUAGGGAGAUGCUUGGGAGAGCAUUGGUUUGAUCCUGGCUGGGAAAAGUGGGCCGAUACUCCACUCUGAAAGCAUGGUUUUCCUGAGAUGUUUGCUUUGGGGCUCUUUCUCUCUUCUUGCCCAACCAAGGUGUUAGUUUCUUCAUUGUUCCUGUCUAAAGAGCUUGGCCAGAGAGGUUCUGGUUUUUUGCUCCAUUCCACACCCGAGGCAAGAGUGGGGCUCAAAAAAGUGCAAGCUUGCUCCUGUGGAACAGCUUAAAACAGAUGUGACCUCGCUUUGAAAUCCGAUGAACACAAUAGACCUCCUGAGAUCAGAUGUUCAGUUCUCUU